Molecule: ribosomal RNA, 253 nt
Filed under: uncultured bacterium
Lineage: Bacteria
Description: partial 16S ribosomal RNA
Rfam family: Bacterial small subunit ribosomal RNA
Source: RNAcentral
UACGUAGGGUGCAAGCGUUAAUCGGAAUUACUGGGCGUAAAGCGUGCGCAGGCGGUUAUGCAAGACAGAUGUGAAAUCCCCAGGCUUAACCUGGGAACUGCGUCUGAUACUGGAUGGCUUGAAUUCGGGAGAGGGAUGCAGAAUUCCAGGUGUAGCGGUGAAAUGCGUAGAUAUGCGGAGGAACACCGAUGGCGAAGGCAAUCCCCUGGGCCUGCACUGACGCUCAUGCACGAAAGCGUGGGGAGCAAACAGG